UGGGGAAUAUUGGACAAUGGGCGCAAGCCUGAUCCAGCCAUGCCGCGUGAGUGAUGAAGGCCCUAGGGUUGUAAAGCUCUUUCACCGGUGAAGAUAAUGACGGUAACCGGAGAAGAAGCCCCGGCUAACUUCGUGCCAGCAGCCGCGGUAAUACGAAGGGGGCUAGCGUUGUUCGGAUUUACUGGGCGUAAAGCGCACGUAGGCGGGCUAAUAAGUCAGGGGUGAAAUCCCGGGGCUCAACCCCGGAACUGCCUUUGAUACUGUUAGUCUUGAGUAUGGUAGAGGUGAGUGGAAUUCCGAGUGUAGAGGUGAAAUUCGUAGAUAUUCGGAGGAACACCAGUGGCGAAGGCGGCUCACUGGACCAUUACUGACGCUGAGGUGCGAAAGCGUGGGGAGCAAACA
This 402-nucleotide ribosomal RNA is filed under the name uncultured Ochrobactrum sp. RNAcentral's name for it is "bacterial SSU rRNA". It matches the Rfam family "Bacterial small subunit ribosomal RNA", at positions 355 to 774 of the family's 1533-position model. Lineage: Bacteria; Pseudomonadati; Pseudomonadota; Alphaproteobacteria; Hyphomicrobiales; Brucellaceae. The record is from RNAcentral.